Molecule: long non-coding RNA, 2933 nt
Filed under: Sus scrofa (pig)
Lineage: Eukaryota; Metazoa; Chordata; Mammalia; Artiodactyla; Suidae
Description: lncRNA (ENSSSCG00065066039.1)
Source: RNAcentral
UUCCCGUCGUGGCUCAGCAGUUAACGAACCCAACCAGCAUCCAUGAAGAUGCAGGUUCGAUCCCUGGCCUCGCUCAGUGGGUUAAAUAUCUGGUGUUGCCCUGAGCUGUGAUGUAGGUCGCAGACACAGCUAGGAUUCAUAGUUGCUGUGGCUGUGGCAUAGGCUGGCGGCUACAGCUCCAAUUGGACCUCUAGCCUGGGAACCUCCAUACCGAGGGUGUGGCCCUAAAAAGACAAAAACAACAACAAGAACAAAAAUAUUGGAUUAUUUGACUCUAUUUUAUUCUGAAUACUCCAGUUCCAUUUGUAUUUAUUUACUUAUGAAGAAUUGAGGAAACCAUAUGAGUGAAAGAAAAUUUAUAGCAUAUGUUCAUCUUUAUGGAGAAAUGUAAAAUCCAUAUUAACAUCAUCAAUAUAACUAAAAUAUUAUUUCUAUAUUUACAAAACCAACAGAAAUUGCUUAUAAAUUUUUUCCUUAACUUUUGUUUUUAAGGUAUAAAGCAGCUAUUGUUCAUCAGAUACCGAUCUCUCAGACCUUUCCCUUAGUGUUUUUGAGUUCAGUGUCUAUGAGAUUCUUAGAUGCUGGGGAAAUGAUUCCCCAGAUUUGUAUUUCAAAAGUAGUUUAGUAAUUUUGUUGAAAAUGAAAAAAAGAUUACAGUCACAUUGAAACUUUCCUUUCUUGUUCUUUUAUCUAUAGCAGUGGGAAAACUAUAUGAACAUUCUGAGUGAAAAGGAUAUUUGGUAUUUUAGUAACUGUUCAACAAAUUAUUUUAAAAGUUGAGGUAGACUGUACACUUAAAAGACAGUUAAAUCGGGAGUUUCAAUCGUGGUUCAGUAGUACGAACCCAGCUAACAUCCUUGAGGAUGCGGGUUUGAUCCCUGGCCUUGCUCAGUGAGUUAAGUAUCUAGAAUUGCCUUGAGCUGCCCUGUAGGUGGCAGAUGCAGCUCGGAUCUGGUGUUAUUGUGACUGUGGUGUAGGCUGACAGCUGCAGCUCUGAUUUGACCCUUAGCCUGGGAACCUCCAUAUGCCACAGGUGUGGUGCUAAAAAGCAAAUAUAUAAAUAAAUAAAUAAAACAAUUAAAUCUUAUAAGUAUUUUAUCACAACAGAAAAGGUUGAAAAAAGUUAAGGUAGAAUUAGACAUAUAUAUGGCUGUGCAUCUUUUAGAUACAUUAUUAAAUUUGCCACUUUACUUGUUGCAUGUAGACCGGUUGACUCUACAGUUUACCUUACCUCCAUGAUCUGCCUGCAGGAUUGCUAAGGGAGAUGCUGGGGGAAGAGAGCUAGUCAUUUUUAUACUGCUUAAUUCUUUAUUCUUGCUUCUUUUUAUCUAGGAAAAGAAUCAACAGGUUAAUUAGGUUCUUUAAAGGUUAGAGGGGAACAGAAGAAGCCAAACAGGAAAGGGGCCAGAGAGCUGCUUUCAACAUGUUAACUUAAUAGUAUUUUGGAUAUAUUGAGUUAAAUAAAAUAUAUAAAUAAAGUUAAUUUCAUCUAUUUACUUUUACUUUUUUUGACCACACCUACAGCAUGUGGAAGAUCCUGGGCCAGGGACUGAACCCAUGCCACAGCAGUGACAAUGCCAGAUCCCCAACCCACUGCACCACCAGGGAAUUCCUGUGUUUACUUUUUUAAAUGUGGCUACUAAAACAUUGAAAAUUAUACUCAUAGUGGGCGCUCUAUUUCUGAUGGGCAGUCUUGCUCUGGACAGUCUUUUUUAUAGCAGGAAGAGCUUAGUUCACUGUGUCUGCACAUCCUGGGGAAGGGCAGGAGAAGGCCGAUGUGGGCAGUUCUCCCAGAAAAGGAAAACCUCAAGCCUAAAAGUCAAGAAAUCAUUCUUAUAAUGGGACACUGAAAUAUUUGUCUCGAACUGUUUGACUCCAAAAUCUGCUCCAAAGGCAUCAUUUUAUGAGGUUUUACUUUCUAGGUUUAACCAAGAAAGCUUAAUCCUCUGACACGUCUCCCAAUAAUUUACCCAAACUAUUUGAAAAGGAAUUUUCCAAUGUGGACAAAAACAGUAUGGUAUUUUUCCUUCUUGAAUAGAAUUUUAUGAAAUUUAUGGAAAUACUUCUAUGUUACUUUUUUUUUUUUUUAAUAGAGCAAAGUAACAGUAAGGCCGAAACUAUUUGUUUCAUACCCUGGCCUUUGUCCGUGUAUGCAGAAAAUGAAUACACAGACAGGAUAUUUUCAAUUACUCAUUUCCUUUGUUUACAUGUCACAUUGAGAUUCAUCGUGCUACCUCUUUCAGCCCUCUCAAGUCCCCCUCGUUUCUUCAGAACACAACUCCAAUCUCAAGCCUCAAGCCUUGUACCAAAUCCCAGAUGCUUUCUAGCAUGAAAGAGAAAUCACACGAAUAUUUACGUCCUUCCUGAUUUGCAGUUGCAAUUGGGUUUGAUUACAAAUCCCCAUCAAUUGUCCCCCAUCCUUCUGCUUCAGCUUCUCCCUCUCCUUCCUCCACGUGCGCGCGCGCACACACACACACACACACACACACACACCCCUUCCCUCCCUUCUUCUCUUUCUCUAGUGUUUCUGAUGAGCCAAGUGUUGGAAGCUCUCAGACUUUGUGCCCUCUAUGUUUAUAACUUUAAGUGUGUAUCCAGACAGUUUGCCUUGUUCUCAAAGAAAACCAGAGCUUGGAAUUUUGGGAAGCAAAUCUGGUAGGUUUGUGAGCUUGUUGAAAAUUUAGUAAACGGAAGCUUCUGAGAAAUGUGGGGUCAACAAAUUCAAAAGAAAAAAAAAGGAGUUCCCGCCGUGGUGCAGUGGUUAACAAAUCCGACUGGGAACCAUGAGGAUGAGGGUUCACCAUUGCCAUGAGAUGUGGUGUAGGUCACAGAUGCAGCUCAGAUCUGGCAUUGCUGUGGUUGUGGUGUAGGCCAGUAGCUGUAGCUCCGAUUCGACCCCAGCCUGGGAACUUCCAUUUGCCACACAUGCGGCC